GGGAGUAUAGCUCAGUAGUAGAACACGUGCUUGGCGUGCACAAGGUCCUGGGUUCAAUCCCCAGUGCCUCCA
Molecule: transfer RNA, 72 nt
Organism: Camelus ferus (Wild Bactrian camel)
Lineage: Eukaryota; Metazoa; Chordata; Mammalia; Artiodactyla; Camelidae
Rfam family: tRNA
About the family: Transfer RNA (tRNA) molecules are approximately 80 nucleotides in length. Their secondary structure includes four short double-helical elements and three loops (D, anti-codon, and T loops). Further hydrogen bonds mediate the characteristic L-shaped molecular structure. tRNAs have two regions of fundamental functional importance: the anti-codon, which is responsible for specific mRNA codon recognition, and the 3' end, to which the tRNAs corresponding amino acid is attached (by aminoacyl-tRNA synthetases). tRNAs cope with the degeneracy of the genetic code in two manners: having more than one tRNA (with a specific anti-codon) for a particular amino acid; and 'wobble' base-pairing, i.e. permitting non-standard base-pairing at the 3rd anti-codon position.
Source: Rfam